RNAcentral lists this ribosomal RNA (432 nucleotides) under uncultured bacterium. Its description in RNAcentral is "partial 16S ribosomal RNA". It matches the Rfam family "Bacterial small subunit ribosomal RNA", at positions 338 to 795 of the family's 1533-position model. The record is from RNAcentral.
CCUACGGGUGGCAGCAGUCGAGAAUUUUUCUCAAUGGGGGAAACCCUGAAGGAGCGACGCCGCGUGGAGGAUGAAGGUCUUCGGAUUGUAAACUCCUGUCAUUUGAGAACUAGUAUCAGAAGAGGAAGAGACGGCUAACUCUGUGCCAGCAGCCGCGGUAAUACAGAGGUCUCAAGCGUUGUUCGGAUUCAUUGGGCGUAAAGGGUGCGUAGGUGGCGGGGCAAGUCAGGUGUGAAAUCUCGAGGCUCAACCUCGAAACUGCACUUGAUACUGCCUUGCUCGAGUACUGGAGAGGAGAUUGGAAUUUACGGUGUAGCAGUGAAAUGCGUAGAUAUCGUAAGGAAGACCAGUGGCGAAGGCGAAUCUCUGGACAGUACUGACACUGAGGCACGAAGGCCAGGGGAGCAAACAGGAUUAGAUACCCUAGUAGUC